RNAcentral lists this non-coding RNA (28 nucleotides) under Mus musculus (house mouse). Lineage: Eukaryota; Metazoa; Chordata; Mammalia; Rodentia; Muridae. The record is from RNAcentral.
UACUUCACAGAAAGAAAAGAAAUCAAAA